This is a long non-coding RNA of Peromyscus maniculatus bairdii (prairie deer mouse), 853 nucleotides long. RefSeq lists it as uncharacterized. The record is from RefSeq and is a predicted model, not a curated record. Lineage: Eukaryota; Metazoa; Chordata; Mammalia; Rodentia; Cricetidae.
CUUCCACGGAAUGUUCUCCAAAAUCUGCAAAAUGACAGCAAAACUCGCUCAGCAAGAACAGGGCAGAAGGCAGACUUCAGGCAGUGGGGCGAAGUUACACCACUGAAUGGCCGAUUAACAAAGGUUGGAUUUCAUGACUUAGUUUCCUGAACAGAUGAAGAAAAGCAUUCUCAGUUGCUCAGAUAAGUAGAGUCUUCCCCUCUCAUCAAGGAAACUUCUCUUUGCAACAUAUGGAGACCUUUACAGAAAACCGUAGCCCAUCAAAAUGCAGAGUUGUGGAUCCUAGUCCCAGUGAGCACAUCUACAAAACAUCUCCUGUGCCUAGAGUUGAGGGAACGCUGGAGAAGAGGGGGAAGGAAGACUGUGAGAGCCAGAGGGUCAGGGAUUGGCUGUGAGGUUUUGUCACCUAGUAGUGGCUACACCCAUAAAUCCCCCCAACAUGACUUCAGUGUUAGAUGAACCUGCAUGACACCAACGACCAGGUCAAAGUGAACAGAGAAAAGUCCGUGAGGACUGAGCUCCACACAAAGAACUACAAGCAACUAAGGAAUGCUGGGAGCGGGAGAGUUGGAGCACACCAAUGGGCUGUCCAAUGGCAAAUGGUCAGCCUGGAAACAUAGAUACAAGUGACAUUAUACGAACUGAGCAGAUUACAUUUGAGAGUAUGUGUAUGUAUCUACACACACAUAUAUAUGUGCAAUCACAAUCAGUGAAAAAGGUGGCCAUGGAUUUGAAGGAGAGUAGGAAGAGGUAUAUGGAAGUCUCGGAAGGAGGAAAGGGAGGAAGAAAAUGUUGUAAUUACAUUAUAAUCUCAAAAAAGGAAAAAAAGAAUAAUAAAUCUUCAUAUCUACAA